UAGGUUAGACUUAAGGAUCGUGUUUAGUUUGGUUUGAAGAUUCAAUAGCAUUUAUUUAUUACUUCUGUGAGAAAGUGGUAUUGUGAUUUAUGUGUGACUGAUUCAUGACUUAUCUGUAACUAAUUCAUGUUUUGGUUUGUGUAUUUGAAAGGUUAUCAACCUAUACGUACUGCCCCACACUGAUCUAUCAAGUCACCUUCAAGAAACUAUACCAUAUUAUUCCAUCACUGGUCUAUCAAACCAUCUCAAAGAAAAUAAAGAAUCAAGAAGUGAAAAGAUUGAGUUGUCCUUUGCGUUCUUCAGAGAGAGAAGCAGUUUUCAAGUUUGGGCUGAGCUGUAAUCAAUUAAAAACACACAGAACUUGACAACUACAGAAUCCAGGAGGUCACAGAAGCCUGCAACAUCAAGGCCGUAAUACAGACUUCUCUGUGCCAAUCCUGACACAAAGUGGGUGCAAAAAGCCAUGAACUCUGUACCACAAAAACUUUGAGCAGCAGAUCACCUGAGGAAAUCAACUUAAAGGCUCAAAGACACAUGAGAUGAAUUUAUUAUAUUAAAAUAAAUGAAUCCUCUAUUUUUGUAUUACUUUCAAUGUAUUUCUUCAAAUAUAUUAAUUUAGCGCCAAUAAAUGGAAUAUUUUAUUAAUAAGGUUCUGUUUAUCUGUAUAACUAACUGGAUCUUAUGCUUUUGUAGGAAUGAUUUUAUUUCAAUUUCUGUACAGCCAAGCUACAAAGGUUUGCUGAAGUAAACAAGUAUUACUAGCUUGUAAAUCUAACAAGAAUCUGUGUAAACCUGCUUGGAACUCUUUAAUACAGUCUUUCACUGAGUCAAGAUUGAUUUUGAUAUGCAUUUUCUUUUAACAAUGUGGACAGUUUAUACAUCAAGUAUUGAGUUUGUGGUUGCCGUCAAUUAAUGGACUUCUGGGCCUACUAGGCCUCUGACAUACAGGCCUGACUGGAUAUCAAAAUCUCAAACAUAUGUCACUUCCUGGUACAUCUUGGUAACACAGGCCAUGCCUCCUAAACCCGCUAAAGCAAUCCUUUAAUGAUUCACUGGUCACAGUGAGUGCACUCUCCUGGUUAGGUCUGGCAGAGAGAAUACAAAGACAUGUUACCUCAUCAGCAAGAAAAACUUGAUCAUCAUCAUUUUAAGUACGAUAAGCUGGUCAUCAUGCCCUAUAUUAUAUUUCUAUAAUAAAAAGAUUUUGUCCUAUUCUUAA
Long non-coding RNA from Micropterus dolomieu (smallmouth bass), 1219 nucleotides. RefSeq lists it as uncharacterized. The transcript is spliced from 3 exons. NCBI's taxonomy places the organism in Eukaryota, Metazoa, Chordata, Actinopteri, Centrarchiformes, Centrarchidae. The record is from RefSeq and is a predicted model, not a curated record.